AAUUAAACCUUAAUUUGCAUAAUAAUCCCAUACCACCUCCACCCCAAUUAAUUCCAGACCCAGCCUCACACACUUUCUCUACGGGGCACUCUUUUUAUCUCUCUCUAACCAUCACUUUUCGUUUUCUCUCUCUCUCUCUAGGCUCUACUACCACUCUACCCGUCCCCAACAAACCCUAGGGCAUAACAGAAUUAUUGUAGAAAGUAAAUGCACGCACCGACGGCAACCAUUGCACGCGGUAGAGCAAAACAAAGUCUGGGUAUCUUUUUGUUUAAUUUUAUAAGAAUACAUUAGACGUAAUCGUUGCUGCAUUCUACUGACAAUCUACUUUGAUACAGUCAAAUGUGCGUGAAGAAAAAAACAAAUUGCUAGAUUCACCUUGCGUUGUCUGCAGAGGAAGUGGGAGAGUUGAUUGCCAUGGAAGAGGUUGGUUUUUUUACUUCUCUAGGGGGGAGAAGCCAAGAAUUUUGUUCAGUGAAGGCAAAAUUUAAUCAAAGUUGAACUUUUUAGUUAUAAAUUUAAUGAUAUUAUGACAAUGCUAAAAAUGAUAUGGCGACAACACUAAUAAAAUAAUUAUCUUCUUCUUUAUUCUAGGAUAUGUAGAAAGUUGUGUAAUAUCAAAAUCCAUUUUAUUUGAUAUCUCUG
Molecule: long non-coding RNA, 645 nt
Filed under: Olea europaea subsp. europaea
Lineage: Eukaryota; Viridiplantae; Streptophyta; Magnoliopsida; Lamiales; Oleaceae
Source: RNAcentral